This 882-nucleotide ribosomal RNA is filed under the name Pseudofusicoccum ardesiacum. Its description in RNAcentral is "partial large subunit ribosomal RNA". It matches the Rfam family "Eukaryotic large subunit ribosomal RNA", at positions 37 to 937 of the family's 3401-position model. Lineage: Eukaryota; Fungi; Ascomycota; Dothideomycetes; Botryosphaeriales; Botryosphaeriaceae. The record is from RNAcentral.
AGCAUAUCAAUAAGCGGAGGAAAAGAAACCAACUGGGAUUGCCUUAGUAACGGCGAGUGAAGCGGCAAUAGCUCAAAUUUGAAAGCUGGCGUCUUUGGCGUCCGCGUUGUAAUUUGUAGAGGAUGCUUCGGCGAGGGCUCCGGUCUAAGUUCCCUGGAACGGGACGUCAUAGAGGGUGAGAAUCCCGUAUGUGAUCGGUUGCCUAAGCCAUGUGAAGCUCCUUCGACGAGUCGAGUUGUUUGGGAAUGCAGCUCUAAAUGGGAGGUAAAUUUCUUCUAAAGCUAAAUACCGGCCAGAGACCGAUAGCGCACAAGUAGAGUGAUCGAAAGAUGAAAAGCACUUUGGAAAGAGAGUUAAAAAGUACGUGAAAUUGUUGAAAGGGAAGCGCUUGCAACCAGACUCGUCCGCAGUUGCUCAGCCGGUCUCUUGACCGGCGUACUCUUCUGCGGCCGGGCCAGCAUCAGUUCGGGCGGCCGGAUAAAGGCCUCGGGAAUGUAGCACCCUUCGGGGUGUGUUAUAGCCCGGGGUGGAAUGCGGCCAGCCUGGACUGAGGAUCUCGCUUCGGCUAGGAUGCUGGCGUAAUGGUUGUAAGCGGCCCGUCUUGAAACACGGACCAAGGAGUCUAACAUCUAUGCGAGUGUUUGGGUGUCAAACCCAUGCGCGUAAUGAAAGUGAACGGAGGUGGGAACCCUCACGGGUGCACCAUCGACCGAUCCUGAUGUCUUCGGAUGGAUUUGAGUAUGAGCAUAGCUGUUGGGACCCGAAAGAUGGUGAACUAUGCCUGAAUAGGGUGAAGCCAGAGGAAACUCUGGUGGAGGCUCGCAGCGGUUCUGACGUGCAAAUCGAUCGUCAAAUUUGGGUAUAGGGGCGAAAGACUAAUCG